AUUGAACGCUGGCGGCAGGCCUAACACAUGCAAGUCGAACGGUAACAGGAAGAAGCUUGCUUCUUUGCUGACGAGUGGCGGACGGGUGAGUAAUGUCUGGGAAACUGCCUGAUGGAGGGGGAUAACUACUGGAAACGGUAGCUAAUACAGCAUAAUGUCGCAAGACCAAAGAGGGGGACCUUCGGGCCUCUUGCCAUCGGAUGUGCCCAGAUGGGAUUAGCUAGUAGGUGGGGUAACGGCUCACCUAGGCGACGAUCCCUAGCUGGUCUGAGAGGAUGACCCGCCACACUGGAACUGAGACACGGUCCAGACUCCUACGGGAGGCAGCAGUGGGGAAUAUUGCACAAUGGGCGCAAGCCUGAUGCAGCUAUGCCGCGUGUAUGAAGAAGGCCUUCGGGUUGUAAAGUAAUUUCAGCGGGGAGGAAGGGAGUAAAGUUAAUACCUUUGCUCAUUGACGUUACCCGCAGAAGAAGCACCGGCUAACUCCGUG
This 490-nucleotide ribosomal RNA is filed under the name uncultured bacterium. Its description in RNAcentral is "partial 16S ribosomal RNA". It matches the Rfam family "Bacterial small subunit ribosomal RNA", at positions 30 to 507 of the family's 1533-position model. The record is from RNAcentral.